This 22165-nucleotide long non-coding RNA is filed under the name Eucalyptus grandis. Its description in RNAcentral is "long non-coding RNA (EGRA_LNC005427)". Lineage: Eukaryota; Viridiplantae; Streptophyta; Magnoliopsida; Myrtales; Myrtaceae. The record is from RNAcentral.
GCCAACUAGAAAUGCCCUCACGAUGGCGACCCAUCCGAUCAAAAGCGCAACAGCCACCACAAAGAACGCUACGAAGGUCACGAAAGUCCAGAGGAAAGUGACCAUGAGCCUCUUCCACACUCUGGGCACGACGCUCAUGAUCUUCUUGAAAGUAAUCUGCUUAGCGGCGUAGAUGCAGGCCACCGUAUAGACAACGGCCGAGGUCGAAAGCAGAGAGAAGAUAAAGACGAAGAUGAAGUACCCGAGCUUGGUGAGCCAGAAGGCGACCCACUCCUUCUUGAGCACGUGGGACAGGUCCCUGUAGCUCUGGCUGCCCUCCGAGGCGUAGUCCCGGUCGUACUCGUGGUCGACGAUCCUGGAGGUGAGGAGAUGCGAGACCAAGGAGUGGGAGAGGAAGACGACGCAGAGAGGGAGGAUGAGCGCGAGCGUGAUCUGGGCGAAGAUCUUCCUCCAUUUGAGGAUGAUCUUGGAGCUCUCUCUGUAGACGCCGAGGAACCCAAGGAACUGCAGCUCGUGCUGGUCUCUUUCCAUCGUUUCUUCCGCACAGAGAAAUCAAGAACGGGGAUACUUCUUGAGGCAGAGCAAGCGGAGAGGCUCAGACCCUCGGAUGACUAAAAGGGUCUCGAGAAAUGACAACCGAAGAGUAAAGAGAUAAACAAAGAGAUGGCGAUGGCUGACAGAGUGGGGUAGGAAGAAGGGAAGACUUCGAAGUGUCAACGAGUCAAUGCGGUCUCCUCGAUCCCCAAGAAUCGACUUUGCCUAAGGAAGAGAAGAAAGCGUGUGGCCCGAAGUUUCUCCGGUUUCCCCCACUAGCGACGUCGCAGCACGAAACGCGUGGAUCGUCGGCUAUGGAAUUCAUCUGAGGCAAUGCGAUGUGGAGUCCGCAUCAUAGGUGACGAAAAUAGCGUGGAAAGUGAGCGAGCUUGCUUGGGUGAUGAAAUAGCGUGGAAAUUGAGCUAGCGUGCUUGGGGGACUUUGCCCCUGGAAAUCUUCUUGAGAAGCUUAACAUAUGUAUCUAUAAAGAAUUCUAUUGCCCCAAGCGUCCUCGGCUAUGAUAUGCUAUGCUUUAUCGACAUGUUUUGCUCUUCAUUUCUAUACGGGUUCCGAUCCGAACAUUCUUUCUUAUGUAAGUUGCAUUUUCUUGAUCUGCUUUUUAACAUCCAUUAUAGUUGAGACAUAAAUAUGAAACUUGAAUAGUCCAAAAUCUUUUAAGAACUUGGAGUGAGCACAAUUGCCUAUGAUGAGCUUAAAAUGGAAGAUAAUAGAGACAUCAUAGAGCAAGGUACAAUAUAUAGUUCAUGACCCAGUAAAGAUUGAGGUAAAUCAUGAUAAACGCAUCGUUAAGUAAUAAAUAUUGAACUUAUAAACUCAAUCAUGUUAAUGAAUUUGAUCUAUUGAGCUCACACAUUAAAUACCCGUGAAUCUCCUAAAGGUAAAAAUCACACAUGCCUUUUUUUAGUGUGCAUCAUAUUCUAAGUGAAUCAUAGAAAUGCAUUAAAGAGAGUGAAUUGAGAUAGUUACAAUUACAAAGAUCAUAAUAUUCUAAUGAGCUCACACUUUGUGAGGCACUAUAAUACUUGAGCUCAUUCAUAGAAUACGUUACAUUUCUUUUGAAUUUUGUUAGGUUUCACUUAUAGAGAUCAUAAUAUUCAAAUGAGCUCACGCUAAUUAUAUGGUACUCCUCAAAGCACUUGAUCCAUGCUUAUUGUUGCAAUAUUCGACAUACUUAAAUUAUUAACUUUACAUGUGGUUUCUCUGCACUAAUGAGCUUAAAUUGUUUUGUUGGACUUUCUGAAAUUAGAGAUGAGCUAACCUAUCAAGUUUAGUGAGAAUCAAUUGAGCACUUGAAGAAUGUCUCGCACUAGGGGAAAAAAGGUAAUUAACUAAUUCUUUGUAAAAAUCUCACAGUCGUAAGGCAUGAAUAAUAACCAUCAUGUUCUUGAAAGCAAUUUAUGGCUAGAAAUAGAUUUUAUUUCUGUUCGCAAGACGAGUUUGUAAGUAGAAACAUGUUUGAUUACAACGCAAAAUUUAUAUUCCCAAAGCAAAGAUUCCUUUAGUAGGCUUUAAAAUUUCUUGGCAGUCAAUGAUCAGUGUGCAAGCGACUGACGGCUGAGUGAUGGAAGAGUUUUAAUUUUUCAUUUAUAUUCAAGAAAUGGAAAAGUAGAAAAUCAUUUAUGUUCCAAACUUAUAUCUGGGCUAAAAAAUUAUCCUAAAAAAUGAAAUUGCAUUACCAAAUGGAUUCCUAUUCCAAACCUAUGUUCAGAAAAAAAAAAAAAAAAAAAGAAGAAGAAAAUUACUGAAAUAGAAAGUUACCAUUCAUGCCCUUAGAAACCUCUCUCCCUUGCUUCAAAGCUUUCGCACAAAGAGCAUGAGGAAAAUAACUAAAGUUUCCGCAGGUUUCUCUAUGGUGCUGUUUGCAUCUUAUUUUGUCUACAUGUGUCAUUAAUUUAGAGUAUAUUUGGUCCACCUUUUUUUUUUUUUUUUACUUUUCUUGUAUUAUUUGAAAUUUAUUUUUUUGUCUUUAAUGUUAGACGAUCAAAACUUUCAUUCAAAACGUACAAACAUUGAUGGACAAGACUCGUUUGGAUCUUCUCAUCAAUUUUUUUUUUUUUUUUUCAGUUUACGUUCAUUAUUGAUUUCAAAAGUUUAAGGUAAAGCAAAAGCAACUACACCAUGAGCUGCAACCAACAGUCUUCUGCCUUUGUUUGUUCCACUAAAGAAUACAUGAUUUGGAAAAUAUUUUCCUAAAAAUAAAUACUUACAUCAUUUGAAAUAAUUAGUUAAUAAAAAAAUUAUAUUGUCAAUAACAAUUUAUAUUUAAAUAUGUUCAAGGAAGAUAAAAGUGUUUUUCGUUUAUUCUUUUUGUAAGUAAUAUAAAUAAUUAUUUUUAGGGAAAAAAAUUUACAUUAUUUAUUUUCUGCGAAACAAAUGAAAUCUUAAGUUGCAUUAAUUUUCAGACGAUGAUAAUGAUGAUCAGAAGAUGCACCAUCACUAAUAAGGAAGGAUUUUACUUACUGCUGAUAGAAAUAAGCAUAUUUAAGAAUCUGGCCAAAAUAUAUAGCUCACGUGAGGUUAAGCCACGCGUGAGCCUAACUUUGCGAUUUGAUUUUCAUGGUGGCUUUUCAUGGGCACGCCGAGGAACCCAAGGAAAUCAAGAACGAGGGAACGAUGGAUGGGUAGAGAGAGACUGGGAUAUUUCUUGAAGCAAAGCAAGCGAAGAGACUCAUAGAUUCAGAUGACUAAAGGAUCUCGAGAAGAACAACCACGGAGUGAAGUGAUAAAUGAAGAAAUGGCAAUGGUUAACAGAAUAGGGUAGGAAGAGGGAAGACUUUCAAAUUUCAACGAGUCAAAGCUUGUUAUUCAGAUUCCCUACCUCUUCACGUGGUUUCAUCCCCUGUAAUUGAAUUUGCUUAUAGAAGAGAAGAAAGCUUUUGGUCUCGCUUUCUCUGCUUUCUGCCUGAAGUUACUCAGGUCUCCUGAUGUAGUGACAUUGCAGCACGAAACGAGUGGAUGGUGGCCAUUGGAAUUCGGUAGAGCUUAUGUGAUUCCGCAUUGAAGAGAUCAUAUAAUGUGGAAAGUGAAUGAGCGUGCUUGUGAGUCUCCAUGAGAAGUUGACAUAUAUAUUUAUAAAGAAUUCCAUCAUGUCUAUCAUGUCAAGACAUGAGACACAACCCUUUGGCAUCAUGCAUAGCAUCCUUAGCUAUAAUUUGUUUUAUUGACACGCUUUUGUUAUGGGCCGGCGAUUUGGAGUCUACAUCAAAGUGAUGAAAUAGUGUAGAAAGUGAGCAUGCAUGCUUGUGGGCCUCCAUGAGAAGCUGACUUUUAUACUUACAAAGAAUUCUAUUAUGCCGAGACAUGAGAUAGGGUGCUUUGGUGUCACAUCGAGUAUCCUCAGCUACAAUAUGCUUUAUCGAGAUGCUUUUGUUACAGGCCAACAAUUUGGAGUCUACGUUGAAGGGCAUUCCAUGGAAAGAUCAAAGCACAACAGUAUUUAUCUUCUCAAAAAAUCUCGAUAGAUUGUUCAUAAAUGAGUUCCAAACGAUUCAUUAAGCAUCCCUAAUCAACGGUUUUCGAUCGCAGGAAAAGUGGAACCANNNNNNNNNNNNNNNNNNNNNNNNNNNNNNNNNNNNNNNNNNNNNNNNNNNNNNNNNNNNNNNNNNNNNNNNNNNNNNNNNNNNNNNNNNNNNNNNNNNNUUAAGAGAAGAAAGCUUUUGGUCCCGCUUUCUCUGCUUUCUGCCUGAAGUUACUCAGGUCUCCUGAUGUAGUGACAUUGCAGCACGAAACGAGUGGAUGGUGGCCAUUGGAAUUCGGUAGAGCUUAUGCGAUUCCGCAUUGAAGAGAUCAUAUAAUGUGGAAAGUGAAUGAGCGUGCUUGUGAGUCUCCAUGAGAAGUUGACAUAUAUAUUUAUAAAGAAUUCCAUCAUGUCUAUCAUGUCAAGACAUGAGACACAACCCUUUGGCAUCAUGCAUAGCAUCCUUAGCUAUAAUUUGUUUUAUUGACACGCUUUUGUUAUGGGCCGGCGAUUUGGAGUCUACAUCGAAGUGAUGAAAUAGUGUAGAAAGUGAGCAUGCAUGCUUGUGGGCCUCCAUGAGAAGCUGACUUUUAUACUUAUAAAGAAUUCUAUUAUGCCGAGACAUGAGACAGGGUGCCUUGGUGUCACACUAAGCAUCCUCAGCUACAAUAUGAUUUAUCGAGAUGCUUUUGUCACAGGCCAAAAAUUUGGAGUCUACGUUGAAGUGAUGAAAUAGUGUAAAAAGUGAGUGAGUGUGCUUGUGGGCCUACAUGAGAAGCUGACAUAUAUACCUAUAAAGAAUUCUAUUGUGAGACACAGUGCAGUGUCAUGCCAAGCCUUCUUAGCUAUAAUUUGCUUUAUUAACACUCUUUUGUCACGGGCCAGCAAUUCCUUAGUCAUGAAUAGUGCAUUCGGUGCCUAGUGAGCAAAUAAACACCAAGUUGGCCUUUCUUCUAUAAUUAUUCUAGAGAACAAUAUGGCAAAUAUCAUACAUCAAUCAGAUCAUACCACAUCUAGCUUAACUCGAGCGUUUAAUCCAUUGAUUGAGACGACAUAUCAUUUUAGGCAACUGCUUUCAACCUGCCAUGGCCUCAUUAAGAGAAUGCAUCAACUCCUAAUUAGUUUGUGCACGGGAAGCCAAUCCUGCCUUAGAACCUCGCAGAGAUAUAUUCGUUCUAUUCUAGGACUCCUAACACGAAUCAUCUUGAUGCUACUCCCAUGGACCAAUUGUAUUUAUCCCCUCUACAUUGCUCUCUCUUCACCCAGUAACCCAAAGCUCCACUCACAAGGGUCUCGAGUAUGAGAAAAUCACAAACCGUAAUACUUUGCUCUUCAUUUCUAUUCGUAUUCUGAUCCGAACAUUCUUUCUCAUGUAAGUUGCUUUUUCUUGAUCCACAUUUUAGUGACUGUUAUAUCUUGUGCUUAAAUACUUGGUAUGUGCCAUUUUUAUUUGCAUCAUAUUCUAAGUAAAUCACGUUCAUGCAUUAAAAAGAGUGAAUUUAGAUAUGUUACAUUUAUAGAGAUCAUAAUAUUCAAAUGAGCUCGCACUAAUUUUAUGGUACACUAUGAUACUCGAGCUUAUUCAAAGAGUACAUUACAUUUGUUUUGAAUUUAGGUAGGUUUCACUUAUAGAGAUCAUAAUAUUAAAAAAAAAGCUCGUGCUAAUUAUAUGGUACUUCUUAGAGUACUUGAUCCAUGCUUAUUGUUGCAAUAUCAACGUUAUUUGAUUAUUAGGUUUACAUGUGAUCUCCCUCCUCCUAUGAGCUUAAGUUAUGUUGUUAGACUUUCUGACACACUCGUAAAGAUAUUUUGAAUUGGAGGUGUUGUACGAUGAUUAACUUGCCAUGGAAUCAAGAGUUCUUUAGGUUUCUUUAACUUAAGUGAAGUUGGGUCACAUGAGCUGAGAGGAUUUAAUAAUUUUCUAAAAUCAAAGACAAGCUAUACCUAUCAUGUUUAGUGGUAAUCAACUGAGCACUAGAUGAAUCUCUAGCACCAUGUUAAUAGGGGGGGAAAGAGUAAAAUACUAACUAUUUGAAUAAAAUACGACAAUCUUAUGGUGGAAUGAUAAUUGUCUUGUUCUUAAGAAUGAUUUCUAACUAGAAAUGGAUUUUUGUAGCUCUAUUCCUUAGAUGAGUUUAUGAACAAAGACAUGCAUUUAAAAACAACACAAAAUUUCUAUUCUCGGACUAGAAACUCAUUUAAUAAGCCUUAAAAUUUCUUGGUGGCUAGCGGCCAACGACUGGCGGGUGGGUGGGCAAGAGGGCAGCUGAUGGCAUGUGGUGAAAACAAGUGAUGAGAAGAAGAAAUAGAAAAGUAAAAAUCUUAUACUUCGCUUUUUGUUCCAAUUUUUUUCUAAGCUAAAAAUUUGUCCUAAAAAUGGAAAAAUGAAAUUACGUUACCGAUCAGAUUUAUAUUCCAAACUUGUUCUCGAGAAUGAAAAAAUAGAAAAAUAAAAAGAAACAUAAUAAUUAUCAUUCACGCCCUAAGUAACCUCGCUCGCUUCAAAGCUUUGGCUAAGAGAAUAGGAGGAAAAUAACUAAAGUUUCUGCAGGUUUUUAUAUGGUGCUCCUUCCAACUUAUAUUUUCCUACUCGUGUCAUUAAUUUCGAGUAUAUUUGGUUCGCAUUUUUACCUUUUUUUUUUUUACUUGCAUCAUUUGAAAUUUAAUUUUCGUCUUUAACGUUGGAUGAUCAAAAGUUUUAUUCAAAAUGUACAAACGUUGAUGGACAAGACCCAUUUUCUCAUCAAAUUUUUUUGGCAGAAAUACAUCCCAAGUGCCAAAACUUGGUACGAAUGGACACUUAAGUGCCAAAAGUUUGGAAGGUGACACUUAAGUAUCAAAAUCGGAGUAAAAUGGAUCACUUAAGUGCCACUCCAGCCAAAAUCUGGUCAAAAUGUUGACAUGGCGAUUUUCCCGUGAAGAAAGUGCAAAACGACGCUAUUUUGUACGUUGACGAGGCUAGACAAUACAAAAAUGACGUUGUUUCGACGCUGACGUGAUAAAAAAAUUAAUUAAAUUAAAUUUAAAACUAAAUUUAUUGAAAUCAUUUAAAAAAUAUUUAAAAAAACUGAAAAUUAAAAAAAAAAAAAAGGGGGGGCAGGUAGUUGAGGGCUGAGUCUUUGCUACCGCCGAAAGGGCCUAGCCCCCCUUUUUAAAAAACAAUUAGUUUUUCUUUUUAAAACUUUUUGUUUUUUAAUAUUUUAAUAUUAUUUUUAAAUGUUUUAAAUAAGUUUAGUUUUAAACGUUUUAAAUUUUUAGUUUUUUAAUAUAUAUUUUUAAAUUUUUUAGUUUUUUAAUAUUUUUAUUUUAUUUUUAAAUGUUUUAAAUAAGUUUAGUUUUAUAUUUAACUUAAUUAAUUUAUAUAUUAAUUUUUUUACGACGCUAGUACCAAAACGACGUCAUUUUUGUAUCGUUUAGUCACGUCAACAUGCAAAACGGCGUCAUUUUACAUUUCCUUCAUAGGAAAAUCGCAACGUCGACAUUUUGACCAUAUUUUGGCCAAAGUGGCACUUAAGUGAUCAAUUUAGCUCCGAUUUUAGUACUUAAGUGUCACGUUCCAAACUUUUGGCACUUAAGUGUCCCUCCAUGCCAAAUUUUGACACUCCAGGUGUUCGUGCCUCAUUUUUUUUUUUAGUUCUCAUUCUUUAUUGAUUUCAAAAGUUUAAUGGUAAGCUAAAGCAACUUCAUUAUAAGCCGUAGUGCUCAGUUUUCUUAAGUUGCUUUAAUUUACAUAUGAUGUUAAUGAUGAUCAAAAGAGGCACCAUUACUAAUAAGGAAGGGUUCCGCUUACUGCUGAUAGAAAUAAGCAUAGCUAGAAUCUAACCAAAAUAUGUAUAGCUAGCACGAGGUUGAGCCACACACGAGCUUUACUUAACAAUUUGUUUUUUACGGUGACUUUAUUAAAUCUUUAAUUCUUAUGCAUAUAUUUCUUAUUGUGUUAUAUUUCAAUUCUUAUGAAAUAUAUAAAUAAUUAGAUGAAAGCAAAUUAUUUCAUGGUUGUACAUAUCUUGAUAAUGCAUGUUUCAACUUAGUUGUUUAUAUGUACAUAGAUCUUAUUUUGAAAUGUCUAUGUAAAAGUAAGGAUGAAAUUUUUUCAACAUAAAAAAAAGAAGAAGGCUUUCCUACAUCUAGGAAAACGAAAAAUAAAGAUCAAAGUUUACUGUUUAAAAUGUUUGUUACAUAUAUUUAGCGAAUAAUUCAUAAAUGGACGGCCUUUUGGCCUUCAGAGGGGCAGUCUCCAAGACGGCCCUCGAGAUGAUCAGGCAAGCAAGAGCUGUCGAUGUUCUCAUGGUGGUAGGACUUGCAGACGACGUAGAUCGCUGUCUGCACGACCAAAUCGGACAGCACCAGCAUCGACAGCAACAUCAAGCAGAUCAGUCCAAUCCCAAUCUUGACUCCAAUAGGAACCAAGUCGAAGAACACAAGAGAUUCAAACAGUGCCAGAACCGGCACGGAGCCCACCAAGACACCAAGAAAAACUUCAUUAGAAGCCGCAGUGCUCAGUUUUCUUAAGUUGCUUUAAUUUCCAUAUGAUGAUAAUGAUGAUCAGAAGAGGGACCAUUACUAAUAAUGAAGGAUUUUAUUUACUGCUGAUAGAAAUAAGCAUGGUUAGAAUCUGACCAAAAUAUAUACAGCUUGCAUGAGGUUGAACCACGCACAAGCUUUACUUAGCAAUUUGUUUUUUCUUGGUGACUUUAGCAAAUCUUUAAUUCUUAUGCAUAUGUAGUGCUCUAUUUCAAUUCUUAUGAAAAUAUAUAAAUAAUUAGAUGAAAGGAAAAUACUUCAUGAUCGUACAUAUCUUGAUAAUGCAUGUUUCAAUUUAGUUGUUUAUAUGUACAUAGAUCUUGUUUUGAAAUGUCUAUGUAAAAGUGAGGCUGAAAUUUUUUCAACAAAAAAAUAAUGCUUUCCUACAUCAAGGAAAACAAAAAAUUAAAGAGAAAUUUUACUGUUUAAAAUGUUACAUAUAUUUAACAAAUAAUUUAUAUGUGCAUUAUUGAUUCUGCAAAUCCAUUUCUUAUGCACAUAUCACAUUCUAUUUGUAAUAUAUAUAAUUAUGGAUUAUAAGCUUUUCCAUCUAAUUAUACAUAGAUAUCUCAAAUAAGAUGAAAAAAUAUGCACUCCGUAAUUGCACGUAUCUUGAUAAUAAAUGUACAUAUAGAUUGUAUAUUCAAAUGUCUAUAUAAAAAGAAGGCUAUAAGUUAUAUUUGAUGGUUGCGUGCAUUUUAUAACAUGAACAUUAGGAAAUUACUAACUUAUUGACAUAAAUAUUUAGGUUGAAAACAACUACUUUAAAAGGUUCCUAUGAUAUAAUAGUGCAUAUUUCAACAAUAUAUGUUGUUAGAGGAUCAUUAAAAGAGUCAUGCAACACAAGACCAUUUAUAUGAUAAAUAGAUGACAUCAGAGGAUUAAUAGAAAAAAUUUCUUCACUAAAGAAUUAUAGCUCGUCUGUUACAGGUAAAUGAAACAUUACAAAUCAGAAAAUAUUUAGUAUUUCCCAAAAAAAAAAGAAGAAGAAGAAGAAGAAGAACCCAUCAGACAUGAAGUUGCUCAAGCUGAACAGCCUUUUGGCCUUCAGAGGAACGGUCUCCAAGACGGCCCUCGAGGUGAUCAGACAAGCAGAAGCUGUCGAUGUUCUCAUGGUGGUAGGACUUACAGACAAAGUAGAUCACUGUCUGCACGACCAAAUUGAAGAGCGUCAGCAUCGACAGCAACAGCAAGCAGAUCAGCCCCACCCCUAUCGUGACUCCAAUAGGAGGCAAGCCCAAGACAAGAAGGGAUUCAAAGAGUGCCUGAACCAGCACGGACCACACCAAGACACCAAGAAAACACCAAACCCAUAGGCCCAUCUUGCCCUUUAUCAGUCUCCUGCUCUUCACCAUCGCCUUCCUUCCAUAAGCAUCUUCAAGAACCGAGAUCACACUCGCCAUUAGCCAAAUCAUGGUGAUAUAAACAAACCCAACGAUGGACAAGAUCAAGAGAAUGACCGCCACAGCAAUCCCAAGUGCAGGGCAAACUGCAAAUUGCCACACCGUGGCGAGCCAUGCGAUCAAAAGCCCUACAGCCACCACAUUGUACACAAAGAAGGGUGCGAAGCACCAGAAAAAGGUGACCAUGAGCCUCUUCCACUUUCUGGGCACGACACUCAUUAUCUUCUUGAAAGUAAUCUGCUUGGCAGCGUAGAUGCAGGCCACCGUGUAGACGACAGCCAAGGUUGAAAGCAGAGAGAAGAUGAAGACAAAGAUGAAGUAGCCGAGCUCGAAGAGACAUAAAACAAUCCACUCCUUCUUGAGCAUGCGGGACAGGUCGCUGUAUCUUGGGCUGUGUUUCCAGGCGUCAUCCAGGUCGAGAUCGAUCUUGAAGGUGAGGAGCUGCAAGACCUCAAAGGCGGCAAGGGAGACGACACAGAGAGGGAGGAUAAGCACGAGCGUGAUCUGAGCGAAGAUCGUCCUCCAUUUGAGGAUGAUCUUGGUGGUCUCCCUGUAGACGCCGAGGAACCCAAGGAAGUGCAGCUCGUGCUGCUCUCUGUCCAUUGUUUUUUUGGCACAGAGAAAUCAAGAACAUCGAUGGGUAGAGAGAGACUGGGAUAUUUCUUGAAGCAGAGCAAGCGAAGAGACUCAGAGACUCAGAUGACUGAAGGUUCUCGAGAAGAGAAGAAAGCUUUUGGUCCCACUUUUCUUUGCUCUCUGCCCUAAGUUUCUCGCGUAUCCUGAUCUAGUGACAUCGCAGCACGAAAUGCGUCGAUGGUGGCCAUUGGAAUUCAGCCCAGUCGAUGCAAUUUGGAGUCCAUGGCAAAGUAAUAAAAUAGUUUGAAAAGUCAGUGAGCGUGCUCUUGGGAUAAUUUGUUUUAUCGAUAUUCUUUUGUUAUGGGCCGGCAAUUUGGAGUCUGUGUCGAAGUGAUGAAAUAGUGUGGAAAGUGAGCGAGCGUGCUUGUGGGUCUCCAUGAGAAGUCGACAUAUUACCUAUAAAGAAGACUAUCAUGCCGAGACAUGGCGUUUGGUGUCACACCAAGCGCUCUCAGUUAUAAUUGAUUUUAUCAACAUGCUUUUGUCACAGGCCGGCAUUUCCUUGGCCACAGAAUAGAUUGUGCAGUGCCUAGUGAGGAAACAAACAUCAACCCAGCCUCCCUUCAAUGGUUAUUCCAAAGAACAAUAUGGCAAAUAGCAUACAUUGAUCAAAUUGUACCACGCUCAGCUUAGCUUGGGUGUAUAAUCUAUCAAGUGAAAUAACAUAUCACUUUAGACUUAACAACUAGUUUUGGUCUACCAUAACCUCAAUAGGAGAGUAGCAUUAGCUUCAGACUAGUUUGUGCAUGGGAGGCUGUCCUCGCCUUCAGAGCCAUAUAAAGAUAUAUUUGCUCUAUGCUAGAAUUCCUAGCACUAACCAUCUUAAUGCCACUCUCAUAGAUCAAUUAUUUAUCCCUUUGCAUUGUUCAUUGUUGCGACCUAAUUUUUCAGGGUACAAUCCUAAAGUUUAGGUUAAUGGACUAUCUUAAACUUAGCUUAGGCCCUCCCAAGCCUAUACCAAUUCGCAACUUUAGGUUCCAAUUUUUAAACAUGUAGAUAAAUUUUAUAUAGGAGUCGCCACUAAUCAUUUUCCGAUAAGUUGAUUAGACACCUAAGUAAAAUAACGGGAGAAUUAUUUUACUCUUACGAAUCAAAGACUAAGGGUACGGGGACUUUGUUACAUUAGACUUCCCUAAUGCCCUUUCGGUACCAUUUUUUUUUUUUUUAAAAUAUUUUAUGCAGGUAGGUUGGAUUUAUUUUAACCUAAUUACUAUCAUGCAAAAUAUGGUGACCACACGGGUGCUCAUCCAUUCAAUAAAAAUAAAUGAACAAAUGAAUUGCACCACACAAAAUAAUCAAUUAUUUUUUGGGUUUUUCUUGAAAUUAGGAUUCUAUCAUGUGCAUUUUAACUAAGGGCCUGCAUGGUAACACUCCAAAAAAGUGUUUUUGGAACACUUUUGUACUUUUUUUUGUUCCCAGGAACAAAAAAAUAACAGAAACGUGUUUGGUUGCGUUUAUGUUCUUUUUUUGUUUUUUUGUUCCCAGAAUAAAAUUGGAGCAAAAAAAAGAAACACAAAAAAGUUGCUUCUUGUUCCAGAAACAAUUUUGAAGAAGCAUUUUUUCUCUCUCUUUUUCUCUCUGCUUCUCUUUUUUCUCUUUUUCUUGGCAAGUCGCCAGCCUCGGCCAUGGCCGGCNNNNNNNNNNNNNNNNNNNNNNNNNNNNNNNNNNNNNNNNNNNNNNNNNNNNNNNNNNNNNNNNNNNNNNNNNNNNNNNNNNNNNNNNNNNNNNNNNNNNGCUCGGCUCCGACGGCAGGGCGGCGAGACUCGGCCUCGCCCGCGUCGGCGGACCGCCUCGCCUCGCCUUGGCUGGGGCGAAGCUUGGGCUCGCCAAGAUUCCGGCGAAGCCCGAGCCACGCCCAACCACGGCGAGGCUCGGCCUCACCGGGGGCCGGCGACCGGCCGAAAGAAAGAAAAAAAUAAAAAAAGAAAGGAAAAAAUGGAAAAUAAAAUCAAAAUAUUAAAAAAUUAAAAGAAACAAAAAAAAGAAUAAAAAUUUUACCAAACGUGUUUCUACUCAUUUUUUAUUCCCGGGAACAAACGUUACCCAAACACAUUCUUUUGUUCAAAAAACCGUUCCCCGGAACAGAAACACUUUUUUUUAUUUCUGUUCCUGGGAACAAAAAAGAAACAUAAAUGUUUCCAUGCGGGGCCUAAAUGACUUAAUUUUCUAAUAUGCACAUUCUAAUUAAAUGAACCUAAUAUGCAAACUAAUUAACAUGUACCUUAAUAUUUCUAAUAAGCUAAUUCUAAACCAUGUUAUGCAAAUUAAUUAACAUGCUCUUAAUAUUACCAAUAAAGAAAUUCUAGUUAAAUAGACUUAUUAUGCAAAUUAAUAUGCAUUUCAUGACCUAAUUUUACUAGUAAAUAUAUUCAAAUUAAAUAAUUCUAUUAUGUAGGCUAAUUAAUAUGCACCUAGUGUUUUUUUGUAAUUUUUUUCCUUUUUAUUGAAAUUUAGAAUUAAUAAAAACCUAAUUAAACUAUCUAAAAAGGAAUGAUUUUCUAAUUCAUUUUUUGAAAUUAAUUUGACUUAAACCCUAAUCUGACUUAGAAAACUAUUUCUAGAAAAUUAAGGUAAUUAAAAUGUGCAAACAUUAUCUAAAACCCUAUAUAUAUAAACAAAAUUAGGUCUAACCCUAAACUAUUUUAAAAAAAAUUAUCUAAUGAUGCAAUUCUAAAAAUGUAAUCCUAAAAAAAAAAAAAAAAAAAUCUAAUUUACUAAUCCGACAUGUCUAAUGUAUUAAAUUUAUAUACUCAUGCAUGAUUUUGAUUUUUUUUUCUAUUUUCUGAUUUUUUUAUAGUUUUUUUAAGGAUAAGUAAUUAUUAAAUAAAUAUAAAAUCUAUACUAUCAACAAAAUGAAGGAUUAAAAUAAAAAAAAUAACAUGUUGUCUCACAGGUCAAAUUAACAAUUAUUCUAAUCCUAAUUAUCAUGACAAAGAGUUUCUAAAUAAUUAAAAAUAUGAAAUUCUACAAAAAAGCUCAACAAUUAAUAUAAUUAGCAAAAUGAUCCGAUGUCUCUAAAAUCAAAUUAAUAAUUACAAUAAUUCCGGACAAAAUCCUUACGGAUAAUGCCUAUAAAACUUACAAAUAUUAAAAUUCAAUAUUGCAAUUUAAAUAACUAAACCGAACAAAACAGACAAAAUAAGAUAAAAUAAAUGAAAAAUGAGAAUAAAAAUAAAAAUAAAAACAACCUAAGGGGGACUCCACGAUCUGUAACACGAUGGGAGAAGGCGUGGCAACGGGGAAGUCGGACGGCCGGUGUCGGAGCUCCAGCGGAAGCUGGCGGGCGGCGACGGUGAGAGGCGUCGCGGGCGGUGGUGCCAAGGCGAGGCGGAGCGGCGAGGGAGCAAUUGUGGGCGUCGGCGGCGGUGCUACGCGGCGGAGGUGCAGGCACGAGCGUCGAGUCGAGCAGCGAGGGUGCUCGCGGUGUCAACGCGGAGGCGUCGGUGACGGACGGAUAGCGAAGGCGGCUGCUGCAGGGAUGCAAUGGAGAGCUGCAGGGGGCGAACUCCGGGACAGGGCCUCGGCGGAGGGAGACGCGAUUCGGUGCUGCAAGGGUUGCAGACGAUGGUGCUCGUGGGUGCUGGUGCGCGGAUGUCGAGGCAGAUCAGGCGCGUAGGGGCGACAACUGGUGCAGCAAGGGACGUCUGGUGGUGAGCGUCGGUCUUCGGGUCUCGGGCUGAGGCGCAGGCCGAGGAAUUACAGGUGUUGCUGAUGCAGAGGCGGGUCGUCAGAGGGAGAGCAGAAGCCAGCGGCGAGUGUUGAGGGAAGUCGUUGCUCGUAGGAGAUCGAGCGGCGGAAGAAGAAGACUGGUUCUUCUUCCGCUUCUGCUUUCCCUUUGCUUUUCUCUCUCUUCUCACCUGUCUUUCUCACGUCACCUCCCUCUCUGCCCCCUGUACACUUUCCCUUUCCCCAAAGAACCGGGAGAAACCACGUCNNNNNNNNNNNNNNNNNNNNNNNNNNNNNNNNNNNNNNNNNNNNNNNNNNNNNNNNNNNNNNNNNNNNNNNNNNNNNNNNNNNNNNNNNNNNNNNNNNNNCAAGUGAGAUAUUCACUCAACGACUCCAAUAAUAAAAAGGCUCCAAAAUCAAAUAAAAACUGAAUCUUUUUGAAUUUUGAAAUGAAGAUAUAUUUUCAACAAAAAAUUUUCAAAACCAAAUUUUUACUUUAUUUAUUAUUUUCUAAAAUAUUAGAUGUCAACAUUCACUCUUCACCCGAUAACUCCAAGCUCCACUACAAGGAUUGCGAGUGUGAGAGAAUCACGGUACGUGAACUUUGCUCUUCAUUUCUAUACAUAUUAUGACCCAAACAUUCUUUCUUAUGUAAGUUGCAUUUUCUUGAUCUUCGUUUUAGUGACUGUUAUAUCUUGCACUUAAAAUACUUAACAAAUGUCCAUAGUUGAGACCUAAUAUGAGACUCGAACUUUCCCAAAGAAUGUUAAGAACUUGGAUUACACACGAUUGCUCAUGAUGAGCUUAACACGGAUGAGAAUAGAGACAUUAUAGUGCAAGGUACAUAGUUAAUGACCUAGUAAACAUUGAGGUAAAUCUUUGAUAAGGGCAUCAUAAAGUAUAAAUGUUGAACUUAUAAACUCAUGUUGAUGUCUUCGAUCUAUUAUGCUCACACAUUAAUACUUGGGAAUCUCCUCAAGGUAAAAAUCACGUGUGUCAUUUAUAUUUGCAUCACAUUCUAAGGGUAUCAUAUAAAUGCAUUAAAAACAGUGAAUUUAGAUAUAUUACACUUACAAAGAUCAUAAUAUUCAAAUGAGCUCACACUAAUUUUAUGGUACACUAUGAUACUCAAGCUCAUUCAUAGAGUAUGCUACAUUUAUUUUGAAUUUAGAUAAGUUUCACUUAUAGUGAUCAUAAUAUUCAAAUGAGCUCAUGUUAAUUAUAUGGUACUCCUCAAAGCACUUGAUCCAUGCUUGUUGUUGCAAUAUUCAAUGCCCUUUGAUUAUUAGGUUUACAUGUGGUCUUCCUUUAUCUAUAAGUUUAAGUUGUUUUGUUGGACUUUCUGACACUCAUAAAGAUAUUUUGAAUUAGAGGUGAUGUAUGAUGAUUUUCUUUUUUGGGUUCAAAUUGUACUAUGAUUAACUUGCCAUGGAAUCAGGAGAUUUUUAGGUUUCUUUCUAUUUAAGUGAAGUUGUGUCACAUGAGCCAAGGGCAUUUAAUGAUUUUUUAAAAUUAGAGACAAGCUAUACCCAUCAUGUUUAGUGGGAAGCAACUGAGCACUUGAAGAAUCUUUAGCACCAUGUUACUAGGGAGAAAAAGUAAAAUAUUAACUAUUUGAAGAAAAUAUGACAUCCUUAUUGUGUCAAUAAUAACUAUUAUGUUUUCGAGAAUAAUUUUCUAGCUAGAAAUGGAGUUUUCUCUUUCUAUUUCUUUGAUAAGUUUAUGAGUAGAGAUACGUGUUUGAUAACAAUACAAAAUUUCUAUUUUCAGAAAAGAAAUUCAUUCAAUAAGCCUUAAAAUUUCUUGGUGACUAGCGGGUGAGUGAGCCGCAGAGGGCGGUUGACAGUAUUUGGUGAGAGUGAGCGAUGAAAAGAGUUUUCAUUUUUCAUUUAUGUUCUAGAAAUAGAAAAGUAUAAAAUUUUUACUUCUUAUUUUUGUUCAAAAUUUAUUUCUGAGCUAAAAAUUGGUGUCGAAAAUAGAAAAAAUAAAAUUGCAUUACCAAAAAAAAAAAAUUAUACUCCAAACUUGUUCCUAGGAACAAAAAAUAUAUAGAAAAAUAAAGAAACAAAAUGAUUAUUAUUCACGCCCCUAGCAACCUCACUCUCUUGCUUCAAAGCUUAGGUACAUAAAGCAGGAGGAAAAUAACUAAAUUUUCUGCAUUUGUCUACAUGUAACAUUAAUUUCAAGUAUAUUUGGUCAACUUUUUUACUCUCUUUUUUUUUUUUUUUUUUUUACUUUUCUUGUAUCAUUUGAAAUUAAUUUUUUUUGUCUUUAAUGUUGGAUGAUCGAAACUUUCAUUCAAAACGUACAAACGUUGAUGGACAAGAGCUCAUUUAGUUUUUCUCAUCAAAUAUUUUGAGUUUACACUCUUUAUUGAUUUCAAAAGUUUAAUGGUAAAGCAAAAGCAACUUCACUAUAAGCCACGGCGCUCAGUUCUAAGUGCUNNNNNNNNNNNNNNNNNNNNNNNNNNNNNNNNNNNNNNNNNNNNNNNNNNNNNNNNNNNNNNNNNNNNNNNNNNNNNNNNNNNNNNNNNNNNNNNNNNNNUGUAAAGUAAGGCUGAAAUUUUUUCAAAAAAAAAGAAGGCAUUCAUAUAUCUAGGAAAAUGAAAAAUUAAAGAGAAAAUUUUACUGUUUAAAUGUUUGUUACAUAUAUUUAGCGGAUAAUUUAUAUAUGGAUUAUUGAUUAUGCAAAUCUAGUUCUUUUGCAUAUACAACAUUCUAUUUGUAAUAUAUAUUAUUGUGGAAUAUAAAUUAUUUCACCUAAUUAUACAUAGAUAUCUCAAAAUAAUAUGAAAAAAAAAUAUGCAUUCUGUAAGAUAAUACAUGUACAUAUGGAUUGUAUUUUCAAUUGCCUAUAUAAAAAGAAGGCUAAAAGUUAUAUUUCACGGUUGCGUCUAUUUUAUAACGUGGACAUUAGGAAAUUACUAACUUAUUGACAUAAUUAUUUAAGUGUUGAAAACAACUACUUUAAAAGGUUCCUAUGAUAUAAGAGUAUAUAUUUCAUCAAAUAUAUGAUGUUAGAGGAUCAUUAAAAGAGUUAUGUAACACAAGACCAUUUAUAUGAUAAAUAGAUGACAUUAAAGGAUCAAUGUUGACAUCUAAAUUUUGGCAAUCCGAUCAUUCAUUCAUUGCAUAUAAAAUUAAAGAUUAGUUUUUAACCCCUAAACAAAAAUUAUUGAAAUUAUUUUGCAUUGGAUUGGUGACGGAUAGACUCAAGUGAUGGUCCUAAACUUAAUGGAACCCACAAAAGCAUGAAAUUCAGUUAAGCCCAUAAAGUCCACAUAACUGUAAAUUGGUGAUCUGAAUUGGAAAGAAAUUUGAAAUCAAGAGAGCACAUUCUUUAUAAUUCUAAGCCAUGAAAGGAGGGGUGGGCAAAUAUAAGCUGAUGGGCUCAAGCAAAAUCCAAGCGGUGGACCAAUGUUUGCUAAUGGAAAAGAAGAAUUAAAAUCUUGAAAAAACUGAGCAUAUAUUCUCUUCAUAUGUAACCAUGGCAUUAUAUUAUGUUUAUGAGCAAGUAUGGGCAAAUAAAACAAGGAAAAAAGGAUUUGGCUGAGUUGGCAAAUACAAUCGUGUGGACAAAGCAAGUGGAAAAGGGCAAAAGAAGAUUUUGACAUUACUCACAGAUGAGAACAAUGCAUCCGCUGCUUGAGAAAGAUUUCUUUUCUUGAUAUAAAAGGAAAGUGGGCAACGAUAGAUAUCAACACACACAAUCUAAUAAAAUACUUGCAUGGAAUUGGAAAGGAGAUUGUAUGCAAUAUGCGAUUGGAAAGAGGAAAUAAAUUUUGUUUCUUUCCUUGGUCAGCUCUAUUCCUUUGCAUAUAAAAGGAGAACACUCAAUAGACACUGGGGGUUGGAAAAAAAAAACACAGAUACACGUGAGGAAUAGAGAGAGAAGAGGAAGAGAAAGAACUCUUUUGGCCAACCCUUGGCAAAGAUGCUCGUCUUGAUGUGCCACGUCGCCACCGUUGUGCCCUCACCGUGGACGACAGUGCUGCAUCGCCCCUCCUUUAGCCACAAGCCAGCCACCCUGUGACGACGGAGCUGCCCAUGCCGAGCCGCUGCAGUUCGCGAUCCACUGUCAAGCCAUCGCCAUCCNNNNNNNNNNNNNNNNNNNNNNNNNNNNNNNNNNNNNNNNNNNNNNNNNNNNNNNNNNNNNNNNNNNNNNNNNNNNNNNNNNNNNNNNNNNNNNNNNNNNCUACUGAAGCAUUUUGAUUCUGAAAUGAACUUUCGGCUCAACUUUGAAUGUGGUCAUAAGAUUCAAAAGGUAGCCUACCUUAGAUUUGAAAAUCGAAUUUCGAACUUUCUCAAAUAAGAUCCACUCCUUGAGUACCACCUAUGCAACUAAGGACUCUCGACUCAGUGCAUCUGCAACUUUGCUCACCUUUCCAGAGUGAUACAAAAUAUCAUAGUCAUAAUCCUUAAAGAGUUCCAUUCAGCGAUGCUAUGUCAUAUUCAACUCCUAAGGUCUCAACUAAUGGGACGCGUAUGCACAACCCUCUCAUGCUGUAUCAACAAGCAACCCGAUCUUUUAAAUGACGCAACAUUGCAGAUUUCAUAACUUCCAGGACCAGAUGGAAUAGUCAGCACAUGUGCGGUAGUCAGCUUCUGCUUAAGCUCUUGAAAACUACACUCGCACUUACCUGUCCAUACGAAGUUCUCUUCCUUUCUCAGUAGUCUUGACAACGGUGACGCUAACGCUGAAAACCCUUCUAUGAAUUGUCUGCAAUAUCCUGCUAAUCCCCAGAAACUUCUGAUCCCUAUCACUGUAGUCAAUCUCGGCCAACUGUUCACUGCUUCAAUCUUGGAUGAGGUCUACGUAGAUUCCUUCUCCUGAAAUCACAUGACCUAGGAACACAACACGAGUCAUCCAAAGCUCGCAUCUGNNNNNNNNNNNNNNNNNNNNNNNNNNNNNNNNNNNNNNNNNNNNNNNNNNNNNNNNNNNNNNNNNNNNNNNNNNNNNNNNNNNNNNNNNNNNNNNNNNNNGUCCGAAGUACCCUCUUCCAAAUGUCUCUCGUGCUUCUCUGCACUCUUUGAACACACGAGGAUAACUUCAAUGAACAUGAUCACAAUUGAUUUAAGUACCCUUAAACAUUCUACUCAUAAAACCCAACAAAUAACUAAAGGUGUCCGUCAAACCACACGGCAUUACAGUGAACUCAUAACUGCCGUAUCAAGUGCAAGAUGCUAACUUCGGUAUGUCUUUCUUCCUGAUUUUCAACUGAUGAUACCCUAACCUCAAGUCGAUCUUGGAGAAUAUCAAUGUACAAACGCGAACCAACUUUCUUCUUCACGAAUAGAACGGGUGCUCCCCAAGGUGAUGCAUUGGAACGAGUGAAUCCCCUAUUCAACACUUCCUGCAUCUACACCGUUAGUCCUUUUAACUCGGAUAACACCAUCCCGUAAGAAGCCUUAGGGACUGGCUCUGUUCCGGGUGCUAAUUCAAUCACGAGCUCUAUUUCUCUUUCUGAUAGAAAACCCGGCAAUUCUUCAGAGAUUACCUUAGAAAACUCCUGUAUCAUGAUUAUGUUCUCCACACUUAGCUCCCUAACUAACGCCUCAAUUACAGUUGUCAUGUAGAUUCGGUAACCAACAACCAAAACUAGGUCACUUUUAGUGACGAAUAACAAAGAUUGAAGUUCCUCUUUGACUUUCAGUGAUUCAAAUUUUUGCACACUAACUGAACAAACUGAAUUAUAUCACUACCAUAAUUCAAAACAAUAGAAAACUUCUUAAGCCAAACCCUUUUAUAAAUGACUUCCAAGUCAUACUUAAGCAAACCUUUCAAGUACAACUAUAGUCAGAGAUUCAUCUUUCUAUUACCUUAUUACCACAAUGAAAAUCCGUNNNNNNNNNNNNNNNNNNNNNNNNNNNNNNNNNNNNNNNNNNNNNNNNNNNNNNNNNNNNNNNNNNNNNNNNNNNNNNNNNNNNNNNNNNNNNNNNNNNNGUAAUUUACAUGGAAUUAUUUGAUUAUGAGAGAAUCUUUUAAAUUGAUCUUUUGAUCUUAAGAUCAACUCAUCUAUUUUAUCCACGAAAUUUCAAGUUGAUUGUUUUUUUUUUUUUAAAUUGCAUCGAUUGGAUGAUAUAUGAUAUGGAGUGAUUUGGUGCAUCUCUUGCUUCAAUUGCUUUAUUUAUGCUGAAAAUACCCACAAAAAAAAUGCAUAUAAUAUAGAUUAGAAUUAGUUUCCAAAUAGUUUUUCUACUUUUUUUAGGAUGCAUGUUUAGAUAACUUUUAGACUAAAUAACAUACGUGCAUUGACUUUUUGAGAUAAGUAUCUGAGUUAAGAUAGGAUUUAGGUUAGUCUAUUUCCUAACUUAAAAUGAAUAAUAUAGAAUGAGAUUCACAAAAUGCAUGUUAUUUGGUAAUUGUUGCUAGGUCCAUUUAAUUAUAAAUUGUUUGUCAUUAGAUUAGACCAUUUAGUUAAAUUGCAUGACAUAUGGCUUAGUUUUCAUUUAUAUAAAGAAAAUCUAAAAAAGAUUGAGUGAUUAUGUGUUAAUUAGAAAUUGAUGUGAUUCCCUAACUAAUGCCUUUGAGGUAAGUAUUUCCUCCUUAUGCUUCAAAUUUAUUGAUUUGGUUUUUUGGGUGUUAAAUUGGUGAAUUGCAUAACCGCAUGGUCAUUUUACAUAUUAAGGAGUAAUAAAAUGAAUUCGAGUUACUUGAUAAACAUUUUUUCAUGAAGAGAAAAUGUAUUGAAAUGGGGUUAAAGCAAUUUAGCGUAAUUAAAUCCCCAUUCUCCCGUUAUUUUAUUUAGAUGUCUAAUUGACUUACUAUAAAUUAAUUAAUAACGACUCUCUAGAUAAAAUUCAUUGGUAUGCUAAAAGAACUUGAGCCUAAGUCAUGAAUUGGUGCGUGCUAAAAGAAUUUGUUAAGUCGCGAAUUAAUAUGGAUUUGCAAGAACCAAGAAGUUUAGACUUAAUUAUCCAUUAAUCAAACUCUAGAGGGUGCGAUAGUACACCCGAGGUUAGGUCGCAACAGUCAAUAAAAAAAAUAGAAAUUCUUCACUAAGAAUUACAGCUUGUCUCUUACAGGUAAAUGAAACAUUACAAAUCAGAAAACAUUUAGUAUUUUUUUUUUUAAAAAAAAAAAAAGGGCGCCAAAAGUUGCUCAAGCUGGACAGCCUUUCGGCCUUCAGAGGGACGGUCUCCGACACGGCCCUCGAGGUGAUCAAGAUGCAGAAAACUCCCAAACUAAAACAGGCAAUAUAGAAAUCAGACAUGAAGUUGCUCAAGCUGGACAGAAUUUGCCUUUAGAGGGACGUAGUCUCCGAGAUAGACCUCGAGAUGCUCAGACAGAGAGGACUUAUCAAUGUUCUCGUGGUGGUAAGACUUGCAGACAAAGUAGAUCACUGUCUGGACUACCAAAUCAAAAAGGACCACCAUUAGCAGCAACAACAAGCAGAUCAGUCCACCCGCAAUCUUGAUUCCAAUCCCUUGAACCAAGUCCAAGACCACAAGGCACUCAAACAGUGCCUCAACUAGGGCAGACCACAGCAUGACACCAAGAAAACACCCAACCGACAUACCCAUCUUGCCCUUUAUCAGCCUCCUGCUCUUCAUCAUCGCCUUCCUUCCAUACACAUCUUCAAGAACCGAGAUCACACUCGCCAAUUGCCAAAUCAUGGUGAGAUAAACAAACACAACAACGUACAAUAUCAGGAGAAUCACCAACAUGGCAAUCGCAAGUUCAGAGCCAACCAGAAAUGCGCUCACGAUGACGACCCAUCCGAUCAAAAGCGCAACAGCCACCACUAAGAACGCUACGAAGGUUACGAAUGUCCAGAGGAAAGUGACCAUGAGCCUCUUCCACACUCUGGGCACGACGCUCAUGAUCUUCUUGAAAGUAAUCUGCUUGGCGGCGUAGAUGCAGGCCACCGUAUAGACAACGGCCGAGGUCGAAAGCAGAGAGAAGAUAAAGACGAAGAUGAAGU